This 613-nucleotide ribosomal RNA is filed under the name uncultured bacterium. RNAcentral's name for it is "bacterial SSU rRNA". The stretch from base 1 to 520 matches the Rfam family "Bacterial small subunit ribosomal RNA", at positions 338 to 873 of the family's 1533-position model. The record is from RNAcentral.
CCUACGGGAGGCAGCAGUGGGGAAUAUUGGACAAUGGGCGCAAGCCUGAUCCAGCAAUGCCGCGUGGAUGAAGAAGGUCUUCGGAUUGUAAAGUCCUUUCGGCGGGGACGAUGAUGACGGUACCCGCAGAAGAAGCCCCGGCUAACUUCGUGCCAGCAGCCGCGGUAAUACGAAGGGGGCUAGCGUUACUCGGAGUGACUGGGCGUAAAGGGCGCGUAGGCGGUUUGGUUUGUUAGGUGUGAAAUUCCUGGGCUUAACCUGGGGGCUGCACUUAAGACGGCCAGGCUUGAGUGUGAAAGAGGGUCGUGGAAUUCCCAGUGUAGAGGUGAAAUUCGUAGAUAUUGGGAAGAACACCGGUGGCGAAGGCGGCGACCUGGUUCAUUACUGACGCUGAGGCGCGAAAGCGUGGGGAGCAAACAGGAUUAGAUACCCUGGUAGUCCACGCCGUAAACGAUGUGUGCUGGAUGUUGGGCAACCUAGUUGCUCAGUGUCGUAGCUACGACGAGUAAGACACACCGCCGUCGGGUAGGUACGGCCGGCCGACGGUAGUAACGUAAACGGUAAAGUUAGUACGGCGUGAGUAACGUGCGACGGACGACGACGAGGGAGGAGG